RNAcentral lists this ribosomal RNA (547 nucleotides) under Trigonopterus tenuipes. Its description in RNAcentral is "partial large subunit ribosomal RNA". It matches the Rfam family "Bacterial large subunit ribosomal RNA", at positions 1810 to 2630 of the family's 2925-position model. Lineage: Eukaryota; Metazoa; Arthropoda; Insecta; Coleoptera; Curculionidae. The record is from RNAcentral.
AAAACAUGGCUUGUUGUUUAUGAUUUCAGGUCUAACCUGCCCAAUGAUUAAUUAAAUGGCCGCGGUAUUUUAACUGUGCAAAGGUAGCAUAAUCAUUAGUUUUUUAAUUGGAAGCUUGAAUGAAAGGUUUAAUGAGAAAAAGGCUGUCUCUUAAAAAGUUUAUUAGAAUUUUAUUUCUAAGUGAAAAAGCUUAGAUUUUUAUAGAAGACGAGAAGACCCUGUAGAGUUUAAUAAGUAGCCAUUUGUUUAAGGAUAUGGGAUUGGAACUUGAUUUUAGGCCUGCUUAUUUUAUUGGGGUGAUAGGAAAAUUAGUUUAACUUUUCUUUAUAAAUAUAUAGAUACAUAGAUUUAUGAUCCUGAAGUUCAGAUUAAAAGAGUAAAUUACCUCAGGGAUAACAGCGUAAUUUUUUUUAGAGUUCUUAUCGAAAAAAUAGAUUGCGACCUCGAUGUUGGAUUAAAAUAAACUGUUGGUGAAGGCGCUAAUAGGUUAGGUCUGUUCGACCUUUAAAAUUUUACAUGAUCUGAGUUUAAACCGGCGUGAGCCAGG